AGUCAAUUCCCAAGGGUUUUGCUCAUCCUUAGCUUCUCUCUUAGUUACAUAUAGAGUCGCAUAUAUAUAACUGAAUCAAUUGCAGAACUCAUGACUCAAACUGACGCAGGGGUUCUUGAGAGUUAAGAUUAGGGAAAGUAGAAAAGGAAGGGAUUUAGAAAUGAGAGAAAGGAGGGGAUGAUAGAGUCCAGUUUGAACAAAUCACAAAACCUGAAAAUUGUGUUUGGUUGUGUUGGUUCUCUCUAUUAUUUUUCACUCUAUUUCUUUCAUUUCCAUUUUCUGUCUUGUACAAAUGAAAAACUUGUUAAAUGUGAUAGUUUAAUUUUCUAAGUGGGGUUGAUUUAAAGAAUAUGUUACACAACAAAUUAUGUCAUGUUUGGUUUUGCAAUACAUGUAACACGAAAAGUCUUAAGUUUUUUUUAACAAUUAAAUGUAUGGUUUCCUUAAUUUAUAUGGUUCAGAGAGUGAGAUAUUUCAUCUACAUAUCACGCCAAAUUUGCCCUUUAAACUCGAGUUUCAAGCCUAUGUUGCUUUGCUAUUGUUGAACGUUAAAUUCUAGCGGUUCAUUAUAGUCGUUAGCUUUCUCCAUAUUUGUUUGUGGGCUAAAUAGCAACGAACUGCAUUGGCUUGCCAAAUACUAUGUUUAAAAGUUAAAACUGGUAGUGUUGUUUUUCUAUGCGCUACUCGAAUGGGAAUUUGUGGUUCCCUCAAAUAAAGUUCCGCUGAAUAACAAGUGAUCUUGUUUAAAUUUCUUCACAACCUCCACAACUUUGCAACAAUUAUUUCCUUUCAUGAAUUGCUUGUUCGAAUUAGUGAAAGUUAAAUGGAACGGUGUAUCUCAUGAUUUUGAAGUCUUGCACAUAUUAAGACGGUACCCAAGAAUAGUACGAGGAAGGACGUCGUCCAAAGUCUAAAAAAUGUUGUAUAAUUUCUAUUUCUUCAUGAAAUAUUCGAAGGGUUUAAUAGCUUUAUGAGAAUUUCCAAUAGCAUUAGUACAAACAGCAUAGCUUGCUUGUAUAUCGGCGAAGACUUGGACCUCAGUCUUGGUUGGGGGAAAAGAGCAACCUACAAUUAACGGUGACAAAAUAGAUGGAAAACCAACCUAUUAAUUUAUUUUGAUCUGUUAAAAAUUUAUUAAAAUAAAUCAAAUUAAACUAAAUUACCUAAUUUUGACUUUUAAAAUUAAAAUAAAUCAAAUUUCUCUGUCAGGAGAUAUUAAUUAUGCUAUUUUCUCCUAAAAAGUACCAAUAUACUGAUAUAGACUAUAUUUUUAACUAUUUUAAUGUAAGAGUUAGUUAAUAAUAUUAAUUGAAUUUUCUCUUUUAUAUAUUUAAAAAUUGAUGAAGGAACUCAAGGGACAAAACAAAGUCCUCCCCUUAUAAACCCAACAAAAGCGUUUGAAAGGCAGUAGCAGAGAAAAGAAUAGGGUUUUGCUAUGGAGAAGCUAGAAGCAGAGAACGUUCUGGUCCUUCCCUCUGAGCAACCCAACAACAAUAGGCCAAAGCCAAAACCAAAGCGUUUCGUGAAAAACCAAAUCCCAGACUCAAUCCUUAACAACCCUCUUCUGAGCGCCGCAAUCUCUGUGCUCCCUUCCAACUACAACUUCGAGGUCCACAAGUGCGUCUGGCGCGUGCUCUCCACGGGAGCAAAACGCGUGGCUCUCCAGUUCCCGGAGGGUCUCCUCAUGUACUCUCUCCCACUCUCCGACAUCUUCACCACCUUCGCCGGCGUCACCCACUGCUUCGUCCUCGCCGACGUCACCUACGGCGCUUGCUGCGUCGACGACCUUGCUGCCUCCGCCCUCGGCGCCGACCUCCUCAUCCACUACGGCCACAGCUGCCUCGUCCCCAUCGACGCCACCACAAUCCCCUGCCUCUACGUCUUCGUCGACAUCAAAAUCGACGUCCCUCACUUCGUCGACACCCUCAGCUUAAACCUCCUCGCCCAAACCAAAACCCUCGUCGUCGCUGGAACCAUUCAAUUCGCCUCCGCAAUUCGCGCCGCCAAGCCCCAAUUGGAGGAGUUAGGAUUUAGGGUUUUGAUUCCUCAGUCCAAGCCGCUCUCCGCAGGUGAGGUUCUGGGCUGCACCGCGCCCAAGGUAUCAUCGUCGAAAUUGCUCGGUGGUGGUGGUGACAUUGGUGAAUGUGUUUUGGUUUUCGUGGCGGAUGGAAGGUUUCACUUGGAGGCGUUCAUGAUUGCGAAUCCGGGGAUUAGGGCAUUCAGGUAUGACCCUUACAUGGGGAAGUUGUUUUUGGAGGAAUAUGAUCAUUUGGGUAUGAAGAGGUCUAGGAAAAAUGCGAUUUUUAAAGCCAGGGAGGCUCGGAGUUGGGGUCUGGUUUUGGGGACGCUGGGGAGGCAAGGGAAUCCGAGGAUUUUGGAGAGGUUGGAGAGGAUGAUGAGGGAGAGAGGCUUGGAUUAUACUGUGGUUUUGAUGUCGGAGAUGAGUCCUACAAGGAUUGCGCUCUUUGAGGAUUCCCUGGAUGCUUGGAUACAGAUUGCGUGUCCGAGGUUGUCCAUCGACUGGGGGGAGGCUUUUGUGAAACCGGUGCUUACUCCUUUUGAGGCUGAGGUUGCGCUCGGAGUGAUACCCGGGUGGUGGGAGAAGAAUGAGGUUUGUGAAGAGGGUGAGGGUUGUUGCAACAAGAGUGGGUCUUGUUGUGAGGAUGCAAAGGGAGGGGAAGAUUUUGGUGGGGAUUAUCCGAUGGAUUACUAUGCUCAAGAUGGUGGGGAGUGGAAUUCAUCUUAUGUGAAAAAGUCUACUCGUCCUGCCAGAAGAGUUUCCGUGUCGUCUGUUGCUGAUACUGCCAUUUCCCAACAGCCUUAGAUUUGCUGCUUAGUUACAAGUCCAAGGUUUUAAAAGACAGUCUUGAACAUGACUUCAGCCACAACGUUAAGAUUUGUGUUGUGGCUGCAUUGGCUGUAUUUCUCUGUGAUUUCUCGCAGUAUCAAUGAUAGCAACUGGAAAUUUAAAACAUUUGUUAUAACAAUUUUUUUCUCUGAAAGGAUAGAGUCUAUAUAGUCUAUUGUUUUCUUUUGUUUUUAGCUUUGUCUUAUUUAGGAUAAAUUAUGUUGGAUGAGUGUUUGGGUGAGAAAACAUGUUGAAGUGUUCUUUUCUUUGGUCUGAUAUGGGAGCGAAGAAGAUAGAAUGUGAUAAGCUCAGUUUCUGUUUCAAUUUGGUUGACGUAGCCACCAAGCUUUUCUGGUGAUCAAUUGAUUUGGGCCUUCUUUGGUGACACGUCGGUAACCACUACCCUUGCAUGGAAUCCAUGUUAAUGUGUCCAUGGCUGCAGAUUCAAGGAAACACACAUUGGAGUCUUUGGAGAGAAGAAUAGCUUUUGCCAAAGUUGAAGUUCUCCAAAAAGGAAAGAAAAACAAAAAUACUAUAAAUGAAGAUGGGUUUUGUCAACAGAUUAUAUAGGAUCAUCUUUUCAACUAAAUAACUCAUUGUAGGUAGAUAUGGUGUUUCUCCAUAGUCUUUGGCCCAUUAUAUAUUGCCUUGUACACAACACAAGGAGUCAAGAGGGAGAGGAAGGAGAGCGUGGAUGUGGGAGGGACCAAGAGGGUUGAGAGAGACAACAAACCAAUAAAUAAAGACGAAAGGUAAAAAAAAAAAAAA
RNA transcript from Glycine soja, 3616 nucleotides. It is a transcript of the gene named 2-(3-amino-3-carboxypropyl)histidine synthase subunit 1 pseudogene, with no coding region annotated. The record is from RefSeq and is a predicted model, not a curated record. NCBI's taxonomy places the organism in Eukaryota, Viridiplantae, Streptophyta, Magnoliopsida, Fabales, Fabaceae. The transcript is spliced from 2 exons.